This 253-nucleotide ribosomal RNA is filed under the name uncultured bacterium. Its description in RNAcentral is "partial 16S ribosomal RNA". It matches the Rfam family "Bacterial small subunit ribosomal RNA", at positions 524 to 776 of the family's 1533-position model. The record is from RNAcentral.
UACGAAGGGGGCUAGCGUUGUUCGGAAUUACUGGGCGUAAAGCGCGCGCAGGCGGCUAUCCAAGUCAGUGGUGAAAGCCCGGAGCUCAACUCCGGAACUGCCAUUGAAACUGUUUAGCUUGAGGAUGAGAGAGGUGAGUGGAAUUCCCAGUGUAGAGGUGAAAUGCGUAGAUAUCGAGAGGAACACCUGCGGCGAAGGCGGGUUGCUGGGCUGACACUGACGCUGAGGCGCGAAAGCUAGGGGAGCGAACGGG